UACGUAGGGUGCAAGCGUUUGGUCCGGAAUUAUUGGGCGUAAAGAGCUGCGUAGGCGGUUUAUCGCGUCUGCUGUGAAAACUCGGGGCUUAACCCCGGGCCUGCAGUGGGUACGGGCAGACUAGAGUGCGGUAGGGGAGACUGGAAUUCCUGGUGUAGCGGUGAAAUGCGUAGAUAUCAGGAGGAACACCGGUGGCGAAGGCGGGUCUCUGGGCCGAUACUGACGCUGAGGAGCGAAAGCGUGGGGAGCGAACAGG
RNAcentral lists this ribosomal RNA (256 nucleotides) under uncultured bacterium. RNAcentral describes it as "partial 16S ribosomal RNA". It matches the Rfam family "Bacterial small subunit ribosomal RNA", at positions 524 to 776 of the family's 1533-position model. The record is from RNAcentral.